CAGGACGAACGCUGGCGGCGUGCCUAAUACAUGCAAGUCGAACGGUCUUUCUAUGGAAGCUUGCUUCCACUGAGAAGAUAGUGGCGAACGGGUGAGUAACACGUGGGUAACCUGCCCAUAAGAGGGGGAUAACAUCCGGAAACGGGUGCUAAUACCGCAUAGUUUUCUUGAUCGCAUGAUCGGGAAAGGAAAGACGGCCUUUGUGCUGUCGCUUAUGGAUGGACCCGCGGCGUAUUAGUUAGUUGGUGAGGUAACGGCUCACCAAGACGAUGAUACGUAGCCGACCUGAGAGGGUGAUCGGCCACAUUGGGACUGAGACACGGCCCAAACUCCUACGGGAGGCAGCAGUAGGGAAUCUUCCGCAAUGGACGAAAGUCUGACGGAGCAACGCCGCGUGAGUGAAGAAAAGGUUUUCGGAUCGUAAAACUCUGUUGUCAGAGAAGAACAAGUUGGAGAGUAACUGCUCCAGCCUUGACGGUAUCUGACCAGAAAGCCACGGCUAACUACGUGCCAGCCGCGGC
RNAcentral lists this ribosomal RNA (521 nucleotides) under uncultured bacterium. RNAcentral describes it as "bacterial SSU rRNA". It matches the Rfam family "Bacterial small subunit ribosomal RNA", at positions 25 to 518 of the family's 1533-position model. The record is from RNAcentral.